UACGUAGGGUGCAAGCGUCAAUCGGAAUUACUGGGCGUAAAGGGUGCGCAGGCGGUUCGGAAAGAAAGAUGUGAAAUCCCAGGGCUUAACCUUGGAACUGCAUUUUUGACUUCCGGGCUAGAGUGUGUCAGAGGGAGGUGGAAUUCCGCGUGUAGCAGUGAAAUGCGUAGAGAUGCGGAGGAACACCGAUGGCGAAGGCAGCCUCCUGGGACAACACUGACGCUCAGGCACGAAAGCGUGGGGAGCAAACAGG
RNAcentral lists this ribosomal RNA (253 nucleotides) under uncultured bacterium. Its description in RNAcentral is "partial 16S ribosomal RNA". It matches the Rfam family "Bacterial small subunit ribosomal RNA", at positions 524 to 776 of the family's 1533-position model. The record is from RNAcentral.